UUCAUACACGUUAACACGCUCCAUCUCUCUCUCAAUUCCUGUGUCACACGUUUGUUCAAAUUUUCUCCCAAUUUUACUAUUUUUACACCUUCAAGAUUCUUGUCUAUAAAUUGUUUUUACUAAUUUAAUGGUUCAAUCUUUCACUUUUUAGCUUCAAUUCUCAAGUUCUGAGAUUUCCUUAUUUGUCUUCUGUUUUCAAAUGGGUUCCUCUUGUUUUUGAGCUUUAUUGCUUUUUUGCUGUGUUUUAGUCCACAUGGAUUUUUUUCCCUUUUUGUGUAAAUCCCACUUUUUUCAUAGACUUUUCUCUGUUCCAUUUUUCCCAAGUUAGUUCUUUUCCCACCUAAGCAUUCCAAUUUUCAAUUUUUCUUGCUUUUUCCAUGCUUAUCCUAAUUUGGUUUCUUUCUUAGCUACAAAAAGUUAAUCUUUUUCCCCUAUUGAUCAUCAAAUUUUCUCUUUUAGCUACAGAAAGUUGGUAAUGUUCCCCUAUCGAUCAACACCAACUUAUUUACUAGAUAAAAAACAACUGAAACUUGAAAAAAAAUUCAGUCUUGGAAUUUUUGUGUAAUUUGGCAAGAAGGGAGGAUUUAAAGAUUUUAGCUUUGAGAAGAAAAAAAUGCUGAAGUGUUUUUAUAUAUUCAAGGAUAAGUCAAGGUCAAGAAGGAGAGGGGAAUCAGCACCAGAAUUGAGUAAUGAAAGUAGGAGAGAUGGUAAUUCAGAAGGGAAAAGGGUAGCUAAGUCUACAGGUUCAGUUUCAUCUGCUCGAAGUAUACCGGAAAUGUAUAAAGAAAAAGAGCAAAAUUUGAGGGUAUUUUCACUUUCAGCGCUUAAGGAAGCUACAAGGAGCUUCAAUAGGAUGUUAAAGAUUGGAGAAGGUGGUUUUGGGAGUGUAUAUAAAGGUACAAUUCAGCCUGCUAAUGGAAGAGGUGAUCCUAUUGUGGUUGCUAUUAAGAAGCUCAAUACACUUGGAUUGCAGGUAUGAACUAUUCUUUUGAUCUGUGAUAUAUGUGUAAUUUGCUUGAAAAUGUCUGAGCUUAAAGAUUUGAUGUAAUGAGGUAAAAUUUAUUAGGAAUCAGAAGUAAUUGAGUUCAUGGUUUGAAUGUUUGCUUGAGAGAGAUAUAGUAGAAUAGGUCUUUGAAUUUUAUGCUAAUGGGUUGUGGUCUUGUACUAAGAUAUUAUAACAUAAUUGGAUUGAAAUAGCACAAUUUUGUGCCCUUUGAGCAAGAUAACCGAAUAUGUAUGGCGCAUGAUAUCUUAGUUUUGCCUAGAAUCUUGGAAAAACUAUAGGCAGAUGUAUUUUUUUUGUUUUCUGUGUUAAUUAACUUUUUUGGUUGAUAAAUGCGUGAGAAAUAUAAAUUGCCAAAUUAUAGGUUACACGUUGUGCCAUUUGCUUUUAUUGUCUUAUACCUUGUUGUUGUUAUUGUUUGUUUAUUGUGCCCGUUUUAUUGUUCAUCGGAAAUAACUUCUCUACCUUCAUAACGUAAGGUAGGGGUAGGGUUUGCGUACACAUUACCCUUCCCAGACCUCACGUGUGGGAUUUCACAGGGUUUGUUUUUGUUGGUAGAUUAAAACUUGUUACAUUACUUUCUUUAAUGUGUGUGUUAUUCUAAUAUGAUUUUUUUGUGGAACAAAUAUAGUGUAAUGUUCUACUCAAGUGUUUCCAAUCACCUAAUAUUUCGCUUCAUGAUGUUUAAUGAUUUACUUAUGUUAUUUCUCUGGUGAUUUGGGACUAAAUUUCUGAACUACAUUCUUCUAUGGGAUCCGAACUCCACCGGUUCAGCUCUGUGUAUCCUAUGUAUAUUACUCAUAAUCCAGUAUUAGUUUGGUGCUAAGAUGAGUAUAUUUGUGAACUAAUUUAGCAAGCAAAAAUGUUGUCUUUCUUGCUUCUUUUGCAAAGUUCUCUAAUUGAUACAAUGAAUUCCUGCAUUGACUAACACUUUCCUGUUCACAUCCGCUUCUUAUGCACAUAACCUUUUGAGAAUCAGUGCCGCUGUAACUCCCACUGGUCUAGGGUUUAGGAAGCAUAUUCACUCUUUUCUUUGAUGGCCAUCUGCUCUUUUUACUUGUCAUGUUAUGUUGAAGGAACGUAAUGAAUUAAGGAGUUCAACAUCCGCCUUUGUUAUUUGCUUGUGUAUGCCUACUGUCUCUUUAUGUGGUAUAACAUUACAUACCUCAAAUGAGUACCACUUGUUUUAUCUUCGUCGCAUAACCAAUAAAUAUAUCUUUCUGACACUAGCUAAGCCAUUAUUAAUUGUUGUCUUCGCCUUUUCUCGUUUCAUUAUUGGGUUUGCUGUAUGGCUCCUAAAAUAAACGUAGAUAAUUCUUUAUAUAUGCAGGGCCACAGACAAUGGGUUGCAGAAGUUCAAUUUCUCGGUGUUUUGGAGCACCCUAAUCUUGUUAAGCUUCUAGGAUAUUGCGCUACGGAUGGGGAAAGUGGGAUUCAGCGCCUAUUGGUUUAUGAAUACAUGCAAAAUAGGAGCUUAGAAGAUCAUCUGUUCAACAGAGCUGUGCCGGUAAUUCCCUGGAGGACAAGAUUGAAAAUUAUCCUUGGUGCAGCACAAGGAAUGGCUUAUUUGCACGAGGGUCUCGAAGUCCAGGUAUUACUACACAGAUAAAUGAUUGGCACUUCAAAUUUUAUAUCAGUUCACAAUUGCUUCUGUGCUUGUUGCAUGGAGAGUCAUGUAAAUUGACUUUGCCAACAGAGUCAUGUCCUAAAUGUCAAGUGUGUUUUCAGCAGUUCGCAAACACGCUUUGCCUUUUACUGUUAUUAGACAACUGGCAUAUGUCAUGUUCCGUCUAUACUUGCAAAAUGAAACAAAUAAACUUCGUUAAGUCGCGUGUAUCGGUAUUUCCAACUAACCUCUGAAGCCAAGAAAGAAAAAGCAAAGGUGAGUAGCAUGUUAUGAUCAUAAUUAACACCCAUUAAGCUAACACAAUUUGCGCUCCUGAAAGCACCUUUCUUUUUUCUAUCUUCAUAAAAUCUCUUGAACUUUUUUUUUUUUUCAUUUAUCAUUCUUAAUGAAUACUUUUUUUGGUUGAAAUGUGAAGGUGAUAUAUCGGGAUUUCAAGUCAUCAAACGUUCUUCUGGAUGAGGAUUUUAAUCCAAGGCUUUCAGAUUUUGGGCUUGCAAGGGAGGGCCCAGCUGGUGACCACUCUCAUGUGUCUACUGCAGUAAGUGAUGGCGAUAUUGGUUAUCGCAUUAAUGCCAAAUUUUUGUGGUUGACUUCUCUUAGAUGCUAGAAUUUUGAAGUGCUUCCUGCAACUUGUUGCCAUCUAGUUUAUCUUCCUCUCUCCUUUCUUUGCAUUUCACUCGAGGACAAAAUGUGUGACGGUGUUUGUUACACCAACUCAGUACACUUGAACUAUUCCCACGUUUUCACUAGUAUUUGAACUGCCUUUUAAUGUUUCGUGAUCUCUAUGAUGAGCUCUUUCCGGUACCAAGUUGCUGUGCUGUUUGUUUUCCUUGGUUUCUAGUUAUUUUUGUUAACCUUAAUAUUACCUGAUAUAGUUUGUCGUUCUGAGACAUUAUUAAGACUUUAAAUUGCAUAGGUGAAGUCAUACUUUAGCCUUUGAUUCUCGUUGGCUGAUCAAUAUUUUGUAUUUUUUGCUCUUAGCCGGUUGGGACUUUAGGAUAUGCUGCCCCUGAAUAUGUUGAAACUGGACAUCUGUCGGUCAAGAGUGAUAUUUGGAGCUUUGGAGUUGUUCUUUAUGAGAUCCUCACAGGCAGGCGAACGUUGGAAAAGAACCUUCCUGUGAUGCAGCAGAAGCUUCUCGAUUGGGUAAAGCAAUUUCCUGCUGAUACUAGAAAAUUCAGCAUGAUCAUUGACCCAAGGCUUCGAAACGAGUUCUCACUUGUCGCUGCUAGAAGAAUUGCAAAACUGGCCGAUAGCUGCUUAAACAAGAUCGCCAAAGAGCGCCCAAAAAUGAGUGAAGUCGUUCAGAUACUGACACAAGCAGUACAAGAAUCAGAAGAAACAACUUCUUUAGACGUCACAGGUCCAGGGCCAUCUCGGCCUACACAACUUGCUUCACCUAAACAACAACUUAAAAAGAAGACCAUUGCUGAAACUGCACGGCCAAUGCGCCCCAUAGCUCAGGCACGUCUACUUAAACUAUGGUUUUAUACAAUGCAGAAUAAACUAACGUGACUUUUUGUCUUAACUUUCUUGUUCUGCUAUUUCAGGCUUGAAUGCUCAAAAGAUUGCGGAUCAUACUUACUUCAAUCUCAAAACGGAGAUCCUUAUGAACGAAGACAAGUAAAUUUUACUAUAUAUACAGUAAGUAGUAAUAUUCUUUGGUAAAAGAAAUGGGCUCUUCAUAUGUCCCAUUAGAGUUCUUUUUGGUUAAGUAUGUUUGCACUAGGAAGAGUAUGGCAAAAGGAGGGAAGUUUCUUUUUUUAAUUAAAAGUGAUUUUGAAGAAUAUACUUGUAAACUCAGUUUAGGACUUCUAUUCAGUAGUGUUUGUUUGUGUAAAUAAAUCCAUUUGUAUUCCAGGAUUUCAGAGCAACAAAUUUUGUUCCUCUUAUUCCAUUCCUUUCCUUGAGCCAAGGAUCUAUUAGAAAGACGGAAAUAGACUCUUUACCUUUACAAGGUAAGGUUAAAAUAUAAGUAUAUACUAUCCUUUUCAGAUUCCACUUGAAUAAUUACACUGAAUUUUUCGUUCUUGUUUUGAGUGGCACCCCAAAAAUCUUUAACAAUUUAACUCUUGAUCUAUAACAUUAUUUGCAAAAGCAUUAAACCAGUGCCAAAGUGGUAAACUUUGACCACCACUGUGCGAAAGAUUUAAGUUUGUGUAAGUAUUUUUCAACACUAUUAGUCUAUUUAAUUUAUUAUGGUAAAUAGAUUAAAAAAAAUUCUCUCUAGCACCGUGUAAUUUCUCGUGAACAAUAAUAAAUGCUAGAAUUUUAUCUUCAAAAUAUUUUUAAAAAUAAAGAAUUAACCCAAAUAACUACGCACAUAAUCUCGUAAGUUAAAAAUAGUCGACACGCGCGCGCGCGCACACACACAUAUACAUAUAUAUAUAUUAUGUGUGUAUGCGCGUGUAAUCAACUACGCACAUAAUCUCGUAAAUUAACCGACACACACACACACGCAUAUAUAUAUAUUUCUUUUCCCACCUAAGCAUUCCAAUUUUCAAUUUUUCUUGCUUUUUCCAUGCUUAUCCUAAUUUGGUUUCUUUCUUAGCUACAAAAAGUUAAUCUUUUUCCCCUAUUGAUCAUCAAAUUUUCUCUUUUAGCUACA
This 5238-nucleotide long non-coding RNA is filed under the name Nicotiana benthamiana. Its description in RNAcentral is "long non-coding RNA (NBEN_LNC041964)". The record is from RNAcentral. Lineage: Eukaryota; Viridiplantae; Streptophyta; Magnoliopsida; Solanales; Solanaceae.